GAGCGAACAGGAUUAGAUACCCUGGUAGUCCACGCCGUAAACGUUGGGCACUAGGUGUGGGGGGCCUUUUCCGGGUCUUCCGCGCCGUAGCUAACGCAUUAAGUGCCCCGCCUGGGGAGUACGGCCGCAAGGCUAAAACUCAAAGGAAUUGACGGGGGCCCGCACAAGCGGCGGAGCAUGCGGAUUAAUUCGAUGCAACGCGAAGAACCUUACCAAGGCUUGACAUGUGCCGGUCUGCUCCGGAGACGGGGUUUCCUCCCUUGUGGGGGCUGGUUCACAGGUGGUGCAUGGUUGUCGUCAGCUCGUGUCGUGAGAUGUUGGGUUAAGUCCCGCAACGAGCGCAACCCUUGUCUCGUGUUGCCAGCACGUUGUGGUGGGGACUCGCGGGAGACUGCCGGGGUCAACUCGGAGGAAGGUGGGGAUGACGUCAAAUCAUCAUGCCCCUUAUGUCUUGGGCUUCACGCAUGCUACAAUGGCCGGUACAGAGGGCUGCGAUACCGUGAGGUGGAGCGAAUCCCUUAAAGCCGGUCUCAGUUCGGAUCGGUGUCUGCAACUCGACACCGUGAAGUUGGAGUCGCUAGUAAUCGCAGAUCAGCAACGCUGCGGUGAAUACGUUCUCGGGCCUUGUACACACCGCCCGUCACGUCAUGAAAGUCGGCAACACC
RNAcentral lists this ribosomal RNA (665 nucleotides) under uncultured bacterium. RNAcentral describes it as "bacterial SSU rRNA". It matches the Rfam family "Bacterial small subunit ribosomal RNA", at positions 766 to 1421 of the family's 1533-position model. The record is from RNAcentral.